GUCACCUCAUCAGAGAGAAAUCAAUUAGGAGAGGCUUCACAACGAGAGCUCCUCCUCCCUCCUCCCAGCCACGAUCCACCAAGGGGAACGGAUUAAGACAGAGAUGUCUGGAGACAGAAAGGUUUUUCUGGGUGGAGAUUUCAGCAGCAUUUAGAUUUGGAAGAGCCAGAGGCUGUCUCACUCUGAAAUCUGCAGGUUCCUGUGCGCCCAAACUUGUGCCGGGCACCAAGACGAGAAUAAGACAGCAGGGCAGAAGUUGUGGAGAAGCUGAAUUGUCUCUCUGCAAGGAAAAAUUUCCUGACACAAGUAUCUGUCCAGAGAGGAAGAUUCAACUGCAAGAGCUUUCAGCAGGCAAUGGUGUCCAACUAGAAUCGAAACACAUUGUUAUUGUUUUACUUAUUUUUAUAAUUACUUUUUAUUUUGGCAAGUAACGGGUGGUUUCGCAGUUACUGUAGUGCUAGAAGGCUUUUUUAAAAAAACAAUAAACAUACUUGAGUAAGAAAUAGUAAGUUGAUUUAAAGAAAAAUAUCAAGUAAAUAACAUUUUAGGUAGAAUAUGGAUUUGGCAUGAAUUGUGACACUGGUACUCGAAUGUGGAAAGUUUGGGAAACAUGAAUUUAGAGGUUGCUCAGACUCUUGUUGAACCAGUGAUCUCUGAGACCCUUCCAAGGUUAACAAUGUCUGAUAUUCUGGAUGUACAGACAGUAUAGGUCAUAGGAGCUCAGCAAGUGCUAACAUGGACAGGGAAGGCUUUGUGGGACAUGAUCUUGGUCUUAAAGAACGAGUAGGAUUUAAGUGAAG
RNAcentral lists this long non-coding RNA (800 nucleotides) under Homo sapiens (human). RNAcentral's name for it is "HSALNT0167249". Lineage: Eukaryota; Metazoa; Chordata; Mammalia; Primates; Hominidae. The record is from RNAcentral.